Molecule: long non-coding RNA, 1540 nt
Filed under: Sus scrofa (pig)
Lineage: Eukaryota; Metazoa; Chordata; Mammalia; Artiodactyla; Suidae
Description: lncRNA (ENSSSCG00025043281.1)
Source: RNAcentral
UUUUUUUUUUUUUUUUUUUUUUUUUUUUUUUUUGCUAUUUAUUUGGGCCGCUCCCACACAUAUGGAGGUGCAGCCCUAGAAAAGUCAAAAAAAAAAAAAAUCAAUUCAGUUCAUUCUUUUGCACGAACUGGGAGUGUUUCAGGGAGUAGGAAGGGGAAAGUCUGAGAAACAUCAUCAGCAGGACUCUGAGUUUCUUCCCUGGAUGGAUUCAGACGUUUCCCCACACGUCUGUUCUAUCAUUUGAUGUCAGAUGCACACCGCCUAGGGCACACAUGUGAAACGACUCCAAGGGUCGUCCUGGGACAGAACCUGAGUCGUUUGCAGCCCGUGUUUGUGCUCAGCUGGGCUGCGUCCCAACAUCAGGGUAGGCUCUGCUCCUGCUCCUGCAACCACCAGUGGGCACAGUGCCUGCAAGAACGCAGGGCUUGCUGCCCCCGUCCCCCCAUCCUCCCCAUCCACAGACCACGGUUUUCACCUCUCGUUACUCUGCAUCUCACCCUUUCCCUCCUGUGUUUGCACACAGCUCCCCCUCAGAACACCCCCCGCCAGGGGACAUGCUGAGCCCCUCCCUGAGCAUCGCCAGCACCAAGUGUGGUACCCAGCACUGGAGACUGUGCAGCGGUCCGUGACUCGCUGCAGCGGAGCAGGGACACGCGGUGCAGCUCACGCCUGACGUCCCAUCGCAUGGACUCACACCUCACCACAGCUCCACAACACCCAGAGUGCCUCCCAGGGAGGAGGAGCACCCCCGAAAAGCCGAGAGCCCAGGGGGCUUCAAGGAGAGGGCGUGUCAAACAUCCAUUUCUGUUACUGUAAUUGUUGCUGCAGGUUGCUUCUAGGUCUGAACUGUCUACAGCAAAGGAACCUAACUCAGCCAACAGGCAGAUGGACUUGGCACCGUCUUAAGACUAAAAGCAGAAUUAUCAGUAAAAAUGAGAAGCUGUUCGAUACUCAACUGAAAUUACACGUCAAAAUUACGCGCCCUGAAUGUAUUAUAUGAGAAUCAUGUCCUUAGAAAAGUCCUUCCUUAGAAAAACUAUGUGUCCUGAAUACCUGACAGGCAUCUUGAAAAUUAAGGUUCAAGUGUGAAGGCAGAAAUUUUUUUUAUCAUUGCGAACAACUGAAGCAUUACAAAUGAAUGGCACAAAUGUAAACAGAUAUAAAAUGAAACGAACCCCUUUAAGCAGUGCCACUUCAGUAACAGCGCCGCCUUGGGAAGAUAACAUUGUCACCUGGUAACUCCUCUAUUAAGGAAAAGCAACGAAAUUGGUUAGGAUGACACAGAACUGCCGCGGCGGCGCUUAGAAGCAUUCGUGGGGAUGUGUAUACCUGCCCUCGGUACACGUGCUCGCCUCAUACCACAGACGUCUCUGUUUAAAUACCCAAUGCUCACAGUGUCUUACUAUCUUGCAAGGCAGAAAAAUGGCAUGUGAGAGCUGGCCUGGAAAACAGGGGACACGAAAAGGAACACACAGCCUUAUCUUCCCCGCGGGAGUGCACGUGCCCGGUGACCUCCUCUGACGCCAGGAAUUCCUCAUCC